CUGGAGGUAUCAGAAGUGCGAAUGCUGACAUAAGUAACGAUAAAGCGGGUGAAAAGCCCGCUCGCCGGAAGACCAAGGGUUCCUGUCCAACGUUAAUCGGGGCAGGGUGAGUCGACCCCUAAGGCGAGGCCGAAAGGCGUAGUCGAUGGGAAACGGGUUAAUAUUCCCGUACUUGGUGUUACUGCGAAGGGGGGACGGAGAAGGCUAUGUUGGCCGGGCGACGGUUGUCCCGGUU
RNAcentral lists this ribosomal RNA (235 nucleotides) under Salmonella enterica. Its description in RNAcentral is "partial 23S ribosomal RNA". It matches the Rfam family "Bacterial large subunit ribosomal RNA", at positions 1273 to 1512 of the family's 2925-position model. Lineage: Bacteria; Pseudomonadati; Pseudomonadota; Gammaproteobacteria; Enterobacterales; Enterobacteriaceae. The record is from RNAcentral. RNAcentral also lists the same sequence under 1 other name.